RNAcentral lists this ribosomal RNA (375 nucleotides) under uncultured organism. RNAcentral's name for it is "partial 16S ribosomal RNA". It matches the Rfam family "Bacterial small subunit ribosomal RNA", at positions 527 to 896 of the family's 1533-position model. The record is from RNAcentral.
GGAGGGCUCAAGCGUUAAUCGGGAAUCACUGGGGCUUAAAGGGGUGCGCAGGCGGACAGGUAAGUGUCUUGUGAAAUCCCACGGGCUCAACCGUGGAAUUGCUCGGCAGACUGCCUGUCUUGAGCUCGGCAGGGGCCGUCGGAACUCUAGGUGGAGCGGUGAAAUGCGUAGAUAUCUAGAGGAACGCCAAAGGUGAAGACAGACGGCUGGGCCGACGCUGACGCUCAGGCACGAAAGCGUGGGUAGCGAACGGGAUUAGAUACCCCGGUAGUCCAUGCCCUAAACGAUGUGCACUAGGUCGAGGAGGUUUUGACGCCAUCUCGGCCGCAGUAAAAACAUUAAGUGCACCGCCUGGGGAGUACGGUCGCAAGGCUA